CCAGUAUUCCAAGUUCACCUUGCCUGCUACCUAAAAAGAAAAACAAGCACCGGAAUUUAGAUGAACUCCCUUGGAGUGCAAUGACAAAUGAUGAGCAGGUGGAAUAUAUUGAGUAUCUGAGUCGGAAAGUGAGUACUGAGAUGGGUCUUCGGGAGCAACUUGAUAUUAUUAAGAUCAUUGAUCCUUCUGCUCAAAUCUCCCCUACAGACAGUGAGUUUAUUAUUGAACUUAACUGUCUCACAGAUGAAAAACUGAAGCAGGUCAGAAACUAUAUCAAGGAACAUAGCCCUCGCCAACGGCCUGCAAGAGAGGCCUGGAAGAGAAGCAACUUUAGUUGUGCAAGCACCAGUGGAGUGAGCGGUGCCAGUGCCAGCGCCAGCAGCAGCAGUGCCAGCAUGAAGCGAUCCAAGCAGCGGAAGUUACAGCAGAAGGCCUUCCGCAAGAGGCAGCUGAAGGAGCAGAGGCAGGCCCGGAAGGAGAGGCUCAGUGGGCUCUUCCUUAACGAAGAGGUGCUGUCCUUGAAAGUGACUGAGGAAGACCAUGAAGCAGAUGUUGAUGUUUUGAUGUAAUAAGGGUGAAUUUAUCAACGUUCUUUAUGAGCAUUAAAAUACUCCAUCCUUAUGGGUUUACAUGCAUCUUGACCAAAAUUUUGGUUAGGGCUGUGCUGAUGUACCAUUAAUAAUUUAAGCCAGUGGUUCUUGGCAGGUGAUCCCAAGACCUGCAGCUUCAGCAUCACUUGAGAAGUUGUUAGGAAUGCAUACUAGUGGGCCCCGCCCCCAGACAUAGUGAAUCAGAAACCAACAGGGAGGCGCCUAGCAUUGUUUUUUUAACAAGUGCUGGGUUAUUCUGAUGCACAGUCUAGUUUAAGAACCACUACUUUGGGUAAACGUUUUGACUGUUUAAAGUUUAUGGCGGUGAAGUGGGCGUCUUCAAAGACUAGUACUUACACAGUUUAGAAGAUUUCAAGGUACUGCUGACAGUAGUUUAUUAUGUCAGUAUACAUACAUGUGUAGAGAUCAUAAUUUAGUUCCCUUCUUAAUGUUACAAUUUCUUAGUUUACUUUUCCUAAAGGGCCAUAGCAUAAUUCUUGAUUCCUGGUGGAAAUCUUUUCUGAGGUGUGGGGGUGGGCAAGGUGUGGAUUGCUGUUUACGAUAGUGCCUUCAUUAGUUUUAGUUCUGUGUGUUUUCAUUCAUUAUUGACUCAAAGGUAUUAGAACAGGCCCUUAUCUUUUUCCUAUUAGAUUUAUUUUUGUUUUUUACUUUAUGUAAGUUCAGAAUCCUUUUUUAAGUGAUGACUACUGAUGAAAUAAUGUUACUAGUAGCUGAAUUUUAGACUUGAUGCUAUGUUGAUUAAUAUUUAAAUGGUGAAAGUAAUUAGGCAAAAUAAGCAAUUCUGCUUUUCUGUUGCUUUCAGAAUUUUUAGGCUGUAAAAUUGUCUCAGGCAGGAAGUCAGUCUAUAUCUCUCUCAAGUUCUUAUUGUAGGUCAUUUUUUUUCAGCACAGCUCUAAUUUUUAAAUAUUUGGUAUAACAGCUUCUGGCAUGUGACCUAGUUAAUGUUGAAAAUUAACUGAUGAAAACCCUUGUAGAUCUGCUAAACUUCUCUAUAAAUUGCUAGAAAUAUACAGAGCAAUGAGAUAUAGAAAACACCUUAGCUUGUUGGUUAUUAAUAGAGCUCUAAUUUUAACUGUGAAAUCAUGGAGUUUCUUUAAAUGUUUUCCUAGAGUGUUUGUUAUCAUGAACAUUAGAAAUAGCGUUAUUCCUUUUCUUCUACCACAUGUCUUGAACAUUCACAUGGGUUAAAGAAGAUGGAAACUGAUACUACUGACAAUCAAGCUGCUUUCUGACUUUCAUAAUUUUCUUCAUAUUGUGGAUAGCAUUUUGAAGGUGACCGUGAUUCUGUAGGAAGAGCUGUAAUCAAUAUUUUUCAAACUCUAAGAGUACAGAGGUUAGUAAGAUUUCUACUUUUUUUUUUUUACUUUUUGUUAUGUCAAGUAGCUUAUUAAGAAAAAGAUUCAUGACUUAAAUUCUUAAUUCUCAGUUGAUACAAAGGCUUAUAAUCAUGUGUUUUAAAAUUUUGAUUUCAUUUUCGUUCCUUGAAGGUUAAAGAAUGGAAACUGGGGAUAAAAAUUAAUACACUGCAGCUUUGCCAAGGUCUGUGAUAUGGUUGUAACCUUUUAAAGACUACUAAAGUCAUAAUUUGAAAUUUUUAUUAAAAUAAAACAUAUGUGUCUAUGGUUUUCAA
RNAcentral lists this small RNA (2241 nucleotides) under Pan troglodytes (chimpanzee). RNAcentral describes it as "processed transcript". The record is from RNAcentral. Lineage: Eukaryota; Metazoa; Chordata; Mammalia; Primates; Hominidae.